Molecule: long non-coding RNA, 1383 nt
Organism: Homo sapiens (human)
Lineage: Eukaryota; Metazoa; Chordata; Mammalia; Primates; Hominidae
Source: Ensembl
CAAUUUCAGCUUAUGAACCCCUGUAAAGCAAUUUCAGCUUUGCUUCAUGGUAUAUUUGCUUUCUAUCCAGAGGUUAAUUUGUUAGUUUUCUUAAAACAAUGUUUUUCUUAAUGGUCUUAUUGUUUAGAAGUAACAAGUGGACUGGAAAAGUAUAUGGGGCCUAAGUUUAUAACAUUGUCUUCUCAUUAUCAGGGAAAAAGGAGAAGCCAAAGAAGUUCACUAGACAACCAAAAAAGCAGGUAUCUUCACCCUGUGCCCAGAGGAAAGAAAAGGCAUUGGAGAAGUCAGCUUCUAGAGAUGUGUCUCCUUUCGUUAUGAGUAUGCAGAAGAAUAAGUGGGAUGCCACAAGAUCCUUGAGAUUCAACCAGGAUGCACAAAGAGAAGACGAUCAACGGCGAAUGACUGAAAUUACAGGGCACCUAAUAAAAAUGAGAUUGGGGGAUCUGGACCGAGUCAAGUCAAAGGAAGCAAAAGAAACAGACAAACUGAGACCCAGAGACGGCACUGUGUCUAAGAGCAACAGAAAAAGUGGUUUGAGCAGUGUGCUCUUGAUGACAGUGUUGCUGUGUUAAACGAAUUAAUACAUGAAAGGACUUGGAAUACUGCUUGACAUAUCUUUCCAAGGCAGGAAAGGUAAAGAGACAAAGAAAGUGCCUUGUACAGAUGCAAACGGAGGUGUAGACUGUGCAGCUGCCAAAGUGGUGACAAGCAAUCCAGAGGACCAUGAAAGGAUCUUAAUGCAAGUCAUGAACUUGAAUGUGCCGAUGAGGCCUGGCAUUCUUGUCCAGAGACAGAGUAAGGAAGUGUUGGCCACACCCUUAGAAAACAGAAGGGACAUGGAGGCAGAAGAGGAGAACCAAAUAAAUGAGAAGCAAGAGCCUGAGAAUGCUGGAGAAACUGGUCAAGAAGAGGAUGAUGGUUUGCAGAAAAUACACACAUCUGUCACUAGAACUCCUUCAGUUGUUGAAAGCCAAAAAAGACCUUUAAAAGGAGUGACAUUUUCUAGGGAGGUAAUUGUUGUGGAUCUUGGGAAUGAAUACCCUACACCUCGAAGCUAUACUCGAGAACAUAAAGAGAGGAAAUGAAGCUCAAAAAAGGGUAAGAGUGAAAGAAAAUGUAACGUUUGACUAACGUUGAAAGACUGAGGGUACAAAAUCAUGUUGAAACAACAAAACAAUGGGGAAUUAAGCAAAUAAAGAUAUUAUUUUACCUUUGUGCAGAAAGGAGUGAGCCAUGUGCAAAAUUCUGUAAGUAAAAUACUUAGAGCUUGAAUAUAAUUUUUUAAAAAUUCAAAUCUGAGUUCAAGAAAUUGAUUGUAUUGCCCUUAAAACUAUCUACUCAAACACUGUUCUGGCAUGUGAAUAAAGUGAUUUUUGUUUGUAC